This 376-nucleotide ribosomal RNA is filed under the name uncultured Glomeromycotina. RNAcentral's name for it is "LSU rRNA". The record is from RNAcentral. Lineage: Eukaryota; Fungi; Glomeromycota.
UUGAAAGGGAAACGAUUGAAGUCAGUCGUACCAGCGGGAAAUCAACCUUUCGAGUGGGGGUUUGGAGUUUUUUGAAGAGUGUCAAAACCUUUGAGAUUUCAAAAUAUUCGCUCUUUUGGUGUACUUUCUCGUGGGUAGGUUAACAUCGAUUUUGAUCAUCAUAAAAAGAUUGGAGGAAUGUAGCUUCGAUCUUGUAUUGAAGUGUUAUAGCCUUUGGUAAAUGUGAUGAUUAGGAUCGAGGAUUGCAACGAAUACCCUUUUGGGCUAUCCGCCUGAUCUCUGAUACGUGGCCUUGGUAUCGAAAGCGUGCUUAUGGUAUUGAGGUAUUACGGUCAAAAGGUUAGAACGGAUUACAUUCGUUAAGGAUGUUGACGUA